AAAGGAGAGUGGUCCUAGAUGCAAAGAUGAAGAUACAGGAAGGAAUAAGGAGCAUCAAAUUUGGUAUAUAUGGAAGUUAAUCUAAAUGAUUAUUGACUCUAUAAAAGGAUAAUAAUGAUAGAUUUAAGCCCAAACCUCAAAAACCAUGGGAUGCAGGGGACAGGAUAAAAUUCUAGGAACUCCCAAGAAGUAUGGUGAAGGGAGAUCCCAGGAUGACAGCUGUUCCAGAAAGAGAAAGAAAUUAGUUAAGAUUGGAAAGAGACUGACUCAAGAUACACAAGCACAUUGAAGACUUUAUCAUCAAGACACCUCUGCCAUGUAUCUAUCUCCUUUUUAUCAUGAGUUGAAAAUGCCUGGGUGAGCCAGCCCAGGCUUUUAUUUGUAUUUGGCUUGUCUUAACCACCUGCUGAAUUUAUGGUCUCAGCUGAAUUAGAUCAGCUGAGAACACACAGUUCACUCCACAGACGUGUGCCACUUAGAUCUGCUCCUGAGAGCAGGAGGUAGGCUUAGAAGCUUAGUAGCAGUGAUAAGCUGAGAAGAAGAAACUACAGAACAAUUCACUCCUCUAUAAUUUUACUCCUAGAUAGGUACAUAGCCCAUGAAACAAUCCGGCUUGCUGGCCCAAAUCUGGUAUACCAGCCCAAUGUUUCCCAAGAUUUGCUCAAGAUCUUGCCUGAUUACUUCCCCAGAUGGACAUCUUACAAACUUUCAGAGGAGCUGAAGCCAGAUUGAAUAUAUUUGUCACUUGUGAAUCCAUAAAGAAGCACAAAAGAUUUACCAAAACAAGGCAGGAUGAUGGUUACACCUGGCAGACAGGAGAAGAAUGUAAUUGAGGAGGUGAUCACAAAGGCUUUCAAGACUGUCUCAUCCUCCUCUGCAAAUCCAACAGAAAGGACACAGUAGAGUGGGCAAGAAUGCAAAGAAGGUCUGUGGUUUGGAACUGGCCCAAGCCGAACUAAACUUUUCUAAAUAUACAUUAAACUGUCAACAAAGAGCACCGUGACCCACAGCCUGAAUAAAGGGAGAGCCCCAAGGCCCUCUGAAGCCACUAGUUCUGUGAGUUGUUUUAGGGAGAAGACAGACAACCAAGAAUUAUUUACCUUAUUAGACUGUGCCCAUCCAAGCCCAGGUAAAACUUUUUGAUCAGCAGAAAACUGGAAUUAUUUCCCUUUCUCUAUCCUGGAUUGAGUGUGAAUUCCCCAGAGAAACUUGGCUUUGAGAGCACUAGCUGGACAUAUAGGGGUCCAUUUCCAAUCUGCUCUGAGAAGGGCCCUGUCUUCAUCCUAAAGGAAGGCUUUAGAAAACUGUUAUCUAAGAUCUAGGAUUGAAGAUGGUGAGAACCUGAGGCUGAGCAAUUGGCCCCAAUUCUUCCUGAAGCAUUAUCUGAGAGAGAGAGCCUAGCCUGUGGUUUUUGACCCCUGGCAGAAGGGUGGAGAGAGGGAAGAAGAAAGAAGGAAGAUGAAGACAACUUCCUGCUCAAGACCAACCCAUCUCCCCUCAUUCUGGGGUGACCAAUUGAGAAAACAAUGAUAUCUCCCUUACUCUCAUCUGUUUCCAAAGGCUUUGCUUCAUCUACCAAAAAACCGUGUGUUGAUCCCUAAUGAAUAUCCGGCACCCCGCAUUCCAUCUCGGUGACUGCUUCCAGAAAACACAAGCUGUGACAUGCCCAUUAUGUACUCAAUAAAUCUUUAAUAAUUGAGUGGAUAGAGUGAUGUGAGUUGAGAAGCAUUAUUAAAGAUUAUUUUCCCAAAAAUAAACAAAAAAAAUGUGCCCAUUGGCUGGUGACUAGAAUUCUACAAUUAGAGGUUUAUUCCUUUGUCUUAAUGCUUCUGCUUUUGUAAAUACCCCCGUAAUAAACGCAUGUUAAGUUUAUUAGACACCUAUUCCCCAGUGUAAACAAAGUCCUGGAAGCACAUUCUAACAGGAAGAGAGAGGGAAAAAAGUAUGAGAGCACCAAUGGACAAACAUCAGGAGCAAGUUACCUGGAUUCAGUCCUGGUUCCACCACUUGCUAGAUCUGUGUCAUUAGACCAAUCAAUUGACCUCUCUGUGCCUCCGUUUUUGUUCCUGUAAAAUGGGAACAAUAACUGUAACUACUUCCAAGUAUUGUUAUGAAAAUUGAAUGAGUUAAAAUAUAAAAAUGUUAGAGACUAGGGAAUAUGAGACUAGUCAAUGAAUGUCUAGUGGAGACAAGAAAAAGUGAACAAAAUUAUACAAGUGCUAUUAAUAAUACAGUCAGAUUUAUAUAUUUUUUCCAUCACACUGACCUCCAAUCCAGGCUGGGAAAUGGGUUUUUUAAAUCUCUUGCGUGUUUUCCAUCACUUGAACUACCAUAUUGUUUUACAAUUAUUUGUCUUGUGUCUACUGCCACCCUUACCUCACCACUGUGAGAUCCUUAGAGGUAAAAUAUUCUAUCUUAUUCAUCCUUAUAUCCCCUUCCAUUCAUCCAUUUAUUCUUUUUUUCUAACUUUUAAGUUCAUAGGUACAUGUACAGGUUUGUUACAUAGAUAAACUUGUGUCACGUGGAUUUGUUGUACGGAUUAUUUCAUCACCUAGGUAUUAACUCUAGUACCCAUUAGUUAUUUUUCCUGAUCCUCUCCCUCCUCCCACUCACUACCCUCCAGUAGGCCCCAGUGUGCGUCAUUCCCCUCUAUGUGUCCAUGUGUUCUCAUCACUUAGCUCCCACUUGUAAGUGAAAAUAUGUGGUGUUUGGUUUUCUGUUCCUGUGUUAGUUCGGUAAGGAUAAUGACCUCCAGCUCCAUCCAUGUCCCUGCAAAGGACAUGAUAUCAUUCUUUUUUAUGGCUGCAUGGUAUUCCAUGGUGUAUAUGCACCACAUUUUCUUUAUUCAGUCUAUCAUUAAUUCAUAUGUUCAUUCAUUAAAUAAAUAUUA
RNAcentral lists this long non-coding RNA (2890 nucleotides) under Homo sapiens (human). RNAcentral describes it as "HSALNT0112845". Lineage: Eukaryota; Metazoa; Chordata; Mammalia; Primates; Hominidae. The record is from RNAcentral.